RNAcentral lists this ribosomal RNA (415 nucleotides) under uncultured bacterium. Its description in RNAcentral is "bacterial SSU rRNA". It matches the Rfam family "Bacterial small subunit ribosomal RNA", at positions 355 to 794 of the family's 1533-position model. The record is from RNAcentral.
UGGGGAAUAUUGGACAAUGGGCGCAAGCCUGAUCCAGCCAUGCCGCGUGUGUGAUGAAGGCCUUAGGGUUGUAAAGCACUUUCGCCGAUGAAGCUGUAGUCGGAGAAGAAGCCCCGGCUAACUUCGUGCCAGCAGCCGCGGUAAUACGAAGGGGGCAAGCGUUGUUCGGAUUUACUGGGCGUAAAGCGUACGUAGGCGGAUGAUUAAGUCAGGGGUGAAAUCCCGAGGCUCAACCUCGGAACUGCCUUUGAUACUGGUCAUCUUGAGUCCGGGAGAGGUGAGUGGAACUCCUAGUGUAGAGGUGAAAUUCGUAGAUAUUAAGAAGAACACCAGUGGCGAAGGCGGCUCACUGGCCCGGAACUGACGCUGAGGUACGAAAGCGUGGGGAGCAAACAGGAUUAGAUACCCGAGUAGU